Long non-coding RNA from Magnolia sinica, 455 nucleotides. RefSeq lists it as uncharacterized. The record is from RefSeq and is a predicted model, not a curated record. NCBI's taxonomy places the organism in Eukaryota, Viridiplantae, Streptophyta, Magnoliopsida, Magnoliales, Magnoliaceae. The transcript has 2 exons.
GUAGAGAAAUGUGUUGUUAGCGGCUUACUGUUUACAGUGGCAUUCCAAUUGUUUAUGAUAUUUUGUGGGUUUUGCCUCUUGUUGGGCUGGUGAUGAUGAGAUGGGCUUAUGGUUUUGAAGAGUUGAAUGUGACUGAGAUUUCAUAUGUGAAAGCUUAUGGUGUGUCCAUCGGGUUGUUGAUGGUGGGCCCCAGUCUUCUUCAAGGAGCUGCUGCAAAAGGAGCUGUAAUAGUGCAUUUCGAUAUUUAGAUUUUUUUAGCAAUAGUAUUUUGGUGAACUCUUUUUUCUUUUUCUUUUUUUCCUUUAUCUAUCCCAUGGAUUGUUGAUACUGGGUUUUUUUUUUUUUGGUGUGUGAUAUUUGCUAAUGGCAUCAAUUUUAGAUAGUCAUGAAAUGUGAGGGCCAUCCUGGCAGAAUCAUCCAGCUUCUCUAGCAGAUGGCAGCCACACCUGAUCAUC